GGGGAUCUAGCUCAGUGGUAGAGCGCUUGCCUAGGAAGCGCAAGGCCCUGGGUUCGAUCCCCAGCUCCA
Rattus norvegicus (Norway rat) is the source of this 69-nucleotide non-coding RNA. The record is from Rfam. NCBI's taxonomy places the organism in Eukaryota, Metazoa, Chordata, Mammalia, Rodentia, Muridae.